Molecule: long non-coding RNA, 495 nt
Filed under: Numida meleagris (helmeted guineafowl)
Lineage: Eukaryota; Metazoa; Chordata; Aves; Galliformes; Numididae
Description: lncRNA (ENSNMEG00000014800.1)
Source: RNAcentral
AUGGAAGCUCUUUGUUUCUUCCAGUUGGUGUUUAUGACACUCCUUCUGGAGUCCUGGGCCUGGUUCUGGGCUCCCCAGAACAGGAGAACUGCUGCUGUGGGAGAGCUCUUGAGCCCUCCCACACUACCUUGUGGGUGUCAUAGGGAACACCCAGCCUCUCAGAGGUACACAACAAAAGUGUGCCUCACUGAUGCCAGAGGUUGGCAUGGGACUGUGUGCUGCAGCUGCUGCCAUUUUGUGUGGGCUGUGUGGUGCGAGAGGCUCAACUGCCUUGUCCCCUUGUGUCUAUGCUUCUUUUCCAUUACGUCUGCAGAAAGAAAAACUGACAAGUGGAAAUCAUCACCAGUUAAGAUGGGAAGAAUGGAGAGAACAGGCAAGGGAAAGGUGAAAUUGCCAAGAGUCUUCCAGGUGACCUACGGAAGUCUGGCUCUGUGCCUUUCUGCUGCUUAUGGACCACCCAGGCCAGCUGGCAAGAAGCAGAUAUGUAGUUUCUGA